AUCUCUCUGGUUGAGGCUGCAUUCAUUAUUCAUAUUCAACUUGACACGUGGGAAGGGCUUACUCUACUAGUGGCUCGGCUUGGUCUCGCUCCCUUCCCGCACUAUUCCUCCCCACUAAAAAGAGCGAUUGAGAAUCUCGAGAACCUUUCCGAACGUCUGUCUUCGCGGUGCGAUUGGAAAAGAAAGGAGUAUUUAAUUCUUUUACUGUUUUCCAUUCCACUAUUCUGAUCGAAUUGAUUGCUCUUCCGAACGACCAAGUCAUAAUGAGUUUAAAAACCGAUGCUUCCUUAGCUGUGUGGAACAUGGAUUAGCAUUAUGUCAAUCCUACAAGUGAUGACCCACCCAGGAUUGCUAUGUACAGACUUAGAGAUCAAAUAGGAUAUGUUUCUUUCCAUUCCUCGUGAGCCACUUAUUUCUCCGAAACAAGAGAUUAAAGUCAUCUUCCUCCUUUUUCCAAGGAAGUCGACGACGUUGCACCAUUGAGAUACUUCGAAUAAACUUGAGUACAAAUAGGAUACACCGGUGCUAAAACCUUUUCCCAAGAUAUCUUCCAAAAAGUUGGGGUCGUUGCUCCGGAUCUUGUUCUCCCGGUGUGAAACCAGUUGGUUCCGUAGUUUUAGAAUUCUGCUGAUCACAAGUACUCCAUCUCCAUCAUUGCAUAUAGGAAUAUAGAAAGGAAAGAGGAAAAGGCAUGACCAGAAGAAUGGUGUGAAAUAAGUGAAUUUAUCCAGUUGAGGCAUUCUUGAUUGAUUGAGACAAAACGAUUCCCUCAAUACAACUUAACUCCGUCAAGCCUGUACGAGUAGUGAAGAAGUAUAGAGCACUUUGGUUGGUUGUUGACCAACGGAAAGCAUGGGAGAAAAAAAGAUGGACUAAGACAACAAAAAGGUUCACCCCUCACCUAGUCUCUCCCAUUCCGAAAAUAGG
RNAcentral lists this long non-coding RNA (927 nucleotides) under Nicotiana benthamiana. RNAcentral's name for it is "long non-coding RNA (NBEN_LNC007229)". Lineage: Eukaryota; Viridiplantae; Streptophyta; Magnoliopsida; Solanales; Solanaceae. The record is from RNAcentral.